AUGCACGCUGGCGGCGUGCCUCAUCCAUGCCAGUCGAGCGAACAGACGAGGAGCUUGCUCCUCUGACGUUAGCGGCGGACGGGUGAGUAACACGUGGAUAACCUACCUAUAAGACUGGGAUAACUUCGGGAAACCGGAGCUAAUACCGGAUAAUAUAUUGAACCGCCUGGUUCAAUAGUGAAAGACGGUUUUGCUGUCACUUAUAGAUGGAUCCGCGCCGCAUUAGCUAGUUGGUAAGGUAACGGCUUACCAAGGCAACGAUGCGUAGCCGACCUGAGAGGGUGAUCGGCCACACUGGAACUGAGACACGGUCCAGACUCCUACGGGAGGCAGCAGUAGGGAAUCUUCCGCAAUGGGCGAAAGCCUGACGGAGCAACGCCGCGUGAGUGAUGAAGGUCUUCGGAUCGUAAAACUCUGUUAUUAGGGAAGAACAAAUGUGUAAGUAACUAUGCACGUCUUGACGGUACCUAAUCAGAAAGCCACGGCUAACUACGUG
This 496-nucleotide ribosomal RNA is filed under the name uncultured bacterium. RNAcentral describes it as "partial 16S ribosomal RNA". It matches the Rfam family "Bacterial small subunit ribosomal RNA", at positions 29 to 507 of the family's 1533-position model. The record is from RNAcentral.